This is a non-coding RNA of Dermacentor albipictus, 395 nucleotides long. NCBI's taxonomy places the organism in Eukaryota, Metazoa, Arthropoda, Arachnida, Ixodida, Ixodidae. The record is from RefSeq and is a predicted model, not a curated record.
GGUGUGUUGUGGUGGUAGACCUGUUGCAUUUGGGAUUUCACUGAGAGAAUAAGAAGGAAUCGACGAUGGACUGCUACGCAACUAUUGCACCAGUGAAGGAUGUCUGUGUGCCGGUUUGUGCACAAUUUCUCAGCCAGCGGGCCUGAGAAACUGUGCCACAGCAGUCUGUGUAGUGGUGCUCUUUGUUCUGGAAGGACGCAAGCAUUGCUGAGAAGCCAUUUGACCUGCCGCCACACUAAUAUUGUAUUUGGUAAGGUCUAUUACAGAUCUUAUUUCGUGUAGUACGUGCUAUAAUUGUGUACAAUGUGUUCAAAACUUCAGUAAGUGGGCUGUUCGACAACAGGUGUUUACAAAUUAAUAAUUAUAAAAGAUGUUCAAGGUCAUUAGUGAUACAA